GACGAACGCUGGCGGCGUGCUUAACACAUGCAAGUCGAACGGAAAAGCCCUGCUUUUGUGGGGUGCUCGAGUGGCGAACGGGUGAGUAACACGUGAGUAACCUGCCCUUGACUUUGGGAUAACUUCAGGAAACUGGGGCUAAUACCGGAGAGGAGCUCCUGCUGCAUGGUGGGGGUUGGAAAGUUUCGGCGGUUGGGGAUGGACUCGCGGCUUAUCAGCUUGUUGGUGGGGUAGUGGCUUACCAAGGCUUUGACGGGUAGCCGGCCUGGGAGGGUGACCGGCCACAUUGGGACUGAGAUACGGCCCAGACUCCUACGGGAGGCAGCAGGGGGGAAUAUUGCACAAUGGGCGGAAGCCUGAUGCAGCAACGCCGCGUGCGGGAUGACGGCCUUCGGGUUGUAAACCGCUUUCGCCUGUGACGAAGCGUGAGUGACGGUAAUGGGUAAAGAAGCACCGGCUAACUACGUG
This 468-nucleotide ribosomal RNA is filed under the name uncultured bacterium. Its description in RNAcentral is "partial 16S ribosomal RNA". It matches the Rfam family "Bacterial small subunit ribosomal RNA", at positions 28 to 507 of the family's 1533-position model. The record is from RNAcentral.